AGUUUUGACCAUAAGAAAAUUCGAAUUUAGAAUUCAAAUUUUCAAUUCGACCCUUGAUAAAUCUUCCUUUAAAGUUGUACACCAGAAAUAUGUACUCUCUUCUAUUCCUUUUUGUUAUGUUAACUUAUUUUUUGUGUGAUUUCUAUUUUUGGAUUUCUUAAAAACAAGUAUAAAGAAACUUCAUUAGGUUACUUCAUUAAUCACAUAUUAUUUAUGUGUGACAAUGAGAAUAAUAAAUUAUGGAAUAAAGGGAUAUUUUAAACUGGUGAAGUGGGUCCAAUAUAGUUGAUAGGGAAUAAUCCAAAGACCGGAGAUCACCGAGGUAAAAGGAAUAAUCCAAGUUUAUUAUUUAUAUAAUAAACAUACACGAGCUCCGUGGGUUCUGAUACACAAGUAGGUCAGAACUGAGAAACAAAAGAUUGACCACACAUUAUAUACCCUCUGGUGGGGAACUUCAUGGGAAUGGUAUGUGAAAGGAGUACGGAAGGGAGUGAGGAGGAGUACAAGUCAGUGUGAUUAGCUAGUUAUGUGAAAAUAAAGGGAGUAACACUAUGUGCGAGCUUCAAAGAUAUUGCACCUUGUUACUGAGAACAAAAACAUAACAGUAAUACGAACCUUCUCACAGAUGUUACACAUAACCUUGAACAGUUUCUAGAAGGGCCUCAUGGGCACCUAGAAACUGUUCACUCCAUUAAGGGGGGCCAAGCAAGGCCUGCAAGACUUUUCCCCUACAACACCUCCCUUUUGUCAGUAUUUCUGACAACAAUAAUACAAAACAAACAAUUAAACAUAGCAUACCUUAUAAAUGCAAUGCAUACAACCUAUAUGAGAAUACAUCUGGUAUAUAGUGUUCAUACACUGUGGUGGUUCAUUGAAGUCAAUUUUAGACUUUUAGUGUUCUUAGGAUAGAACAGAACAGGUUUAGAAGAACUUGCCUUUAGAAAAGAGUAAGACAAUAAGGAGGUACAGCAAGAACAACAGCAACAAAUGAUGUUAGGAAGACAAUAGAUGAUUAGGAUAAGGCCACCAACACAAACGAGGACAUACAGAAUGGUAUGGAAAAUCUUAGCACUGAUAUCGUGGAACCAUGUGGAUGGGUCCAACCAGGGGAAGAUGGAUUGUUCCUUGUGAUUGGUUAAAAAGGUGUCCUUCCUCUGCUAAACCUUUACCAGGUGCUUGUCAUCAAUGUAAUUACAACUGUACCUAACCCUCCUUGACUAGCUGGAAGAUAAUAUAACACUAAACAAUGCGGCAGAACUUCCUUCUUCAAUUGUUGGAGUUCAUGACUUACUAUCUUCAAACUGUUGUCAUAUUCAUUAGUAAUGUUAUCAAGCAACAACAUACUAGACAUAAGGCUAAAGGCUUUCUUAAUGCAACAUCCAUUUACCUCAGGGGAAGUUAAAGAGAGCUCUUGCCUUACCUUUAAAGAUGCACGCUUCAUUAGGAAGUGUGCUGGAAUCUGAGCUAUCUUAAUAUCUUUAGCUUCCAUAUACCAGGUGGGAUGAAGCAAUUUAGCAAUCAUACAUACCCCAUGGGAGCCUUUUGGUAGCCACGGAUAGGCACAUUCACCACAAACAAAGUAAUAAGCGGAACUGUUGAUACAAAGGCCAUCAGAACAUAAGUGUACCAACUUACCAAUAUCCUUGGGCGACACCGUUUUAUGAAACUGGAGAAGUGUCAAAUUACCCCAAGGCCUGUUAACUAUAUCCUGACAGGAUAGAGAUUCUGCUACGUAUGUUAUACUGCGAGCUGACAAAGGAUAAUGUGUACAUAUCCAUCAAUCAGUAAUAGUGUGGAUGCUGCUAUAACAUACAUUUUAACAAAAGCAUUAUCAUUAGGCUCAAACAGUUAUGAAAAGUCUCUUUUGACAACCUUAACCUGAUCGGUUGACGACAUAUUAGCCUCCGAAGUUGGUGAGGCUGCUGUUUGUUUAUUUGUGAGUUGUCGUUGCCUGCAGGCUUUAUGAGUGCUAUCGUCAGCACAGCAACGAAGAUAAUGAUGUGCAGUACGGAGACACAGAUGAUAAGUCUUUUAUCUGGCUUUGGGCCAAAGCAUCUGGCACACAGAGACAUGAUGGUGCUGCUGAGGAUCUUCACCCGAUGGGGACCUACGUCUUUUGCACUGCACGUUAGGGUCCCUGGGACUUAGGUGGUGGAGGGAAAGAGGCGUUAUUAUGUCCUACAAUUCCCCCCCACUUACACCGCAGGUGGAAGUUGAGAUUUCGGUUUCCCUUCAACCUUUACAGCUGUUUCUGUGACUAGGAGUACCUGGAAUGGUCAUUUUCAGCGAGGUUGAAGAUCUUUGGCACUGUGUCUCCUUAUGAGGAUCCAAUCUCCUGGAAUGAGAUCAUGUGGUUCCAGAACAUCCGCUGGAUCUGGUAAUGAAGAAUAAACUCGAGAACACAAUUUGGUCAGUUCCUUAUGUAACUGAGAAACAUAUUCAGUCAUUCGUCCAUAGUUCAUGCAAAGAAGAUGAGUAGAAGGAAAGUACUGAGCCAAGCGUGCUUGUCUCCCAAACAAUAUUUCAUAUGGGGAGAGUUUACUUAGCCUUUGGGGAGUGUGCAUGACAGACAUAAGCACUAUAUCAAGGGCAUCUGGCCACACAAGUUUAGUCUCUGCACAUACUUUACUUAGCCUGCUUUUAAUAACACCCUUUAGACUUUCCCACUAGCUUGGGGAUGAAAUGGUGUGUAACAUUUGAUGAAUCCCAAUGUCUUUGUGCAGAUUAAUUACAUCACCUGUCCCGUGAAACGUGUACCUUGAUCAGAGGAUAAUACCUCAGGCAGUCCAUAACUGCCAACAAUCUCUGCAAUUAACUCAUUAGCUAUAGCUUCAUCUGAAGCUUUUACAAUGGACCCAGGGAAUUGGUCAACACAAACAAUUACAUAUUCAUAGGUACAACAUGUAGGUAACUGUAGGAAAUCUAUCUGCAAUAUCUGAAAUUGUUACAUUGGUUUAGGUCAGUGUUUGAUAGGUGUUGGAAUCGUCUUACCUAGAUUAUAUUGCAAACAAAUAAAACAUAAUUAUACAUACUUGGCUGCAAUAGAUGAGAACCCGGGGGCAAACCACAUUCCUGACACUACAUCACAUAUCCCCCCAUAAAAAGUGUGGGUGAGAUCAUGUGAGGCAGCAACCAAAUAUGGUAACAGAGCACGGGGUGCAACAGGGCAAUCACCUAAAUGCCAAA
Molecule: long non-coding RNA, 3186 nt
Organism: Xenopus laevis (African clawed frog)
Lineage: Eukaryota; Metazoa; Chordata; Amphibia; Anura; Pipidae
Exons: 2
Source: RefSeq, a predicted model, not a curated record